UUGGUAUUCCCUCCGUCCAACAAAAGAUGUCUCAAGUUUGUCAAAAUUUGGAUGUAUCUAGACAUGACUCUUACUGUAUAGAUGCAUUCAAAUUUAGUCAAAGUUGAGACAUCCUUUGUUGGACGGAGGAAGUACAUA
Non-coding RNA from Brachypodium distachyon (stiff brome), 138 nucleotides. The record is from Rfam. Lineage: Eukaryota; Viridiplantae; Streptophyta; Magnoliopsida; Poales; Poaceae.